GUUAUGGUUUAUUAUAUUCUUAGGUUCCCAAGUCAGUGCUCUUUCCUCCUGCCCUUGCUCUCUGGUUCUGUUUUCACGGCUAUGUGAAAGAGUAGGUGGUGUGCUCGUUCUCUGGGGGUCUUCUUUUGGAGAACCCGGAGAGCGGAAAUAAAACGUGUUGAAAACCUCAGCCAUCCCCAUUCAAACCGCGUCUCAAUUUCUUUUACACGUGAACGUUUUUCUCCUACUUUGACCCUCUAGGCUUCCCAUCCUCUGGGCCUCGGCGCACAUGCGCAGACGCCCGGCGACCUCCUGGCUCGGAGUCUCCGCCGCUCUGACAAUGGCGGCCCGCGGCGUGGGACUGUUGACCCGGUUGUCCCUCGGUGCUCAGAGAAAUCAAGUCCAGCGUGCUCUCCGUAGGCUUCUCAGUUGUCCGGGAACGGUGGCCGCAGACCUCAGGAGAGAAGAGCAGUUCUCGGGGAGCGCGGAGACAGGCUCUGAAGACAGGAUUCCCAAGAAGAGAUUCUCAGAGGUGCAAGAAGAAAGACGAGAACAGGCCCAGCGGACAGUGUUAAUCCACUGCCCAAAUAAAAUCAGUGAGAAGAAGUUUCUCCAGUAUUUAUCCCAACACGGACCCGUUAACAGCCACUUCUUCUAUGAAAGCUUUGGUCUUUAUGCCGUUGUAGAAUUUUGUCAGAAGGAAAGUGUAGCUUCACUGCAGAGUGUGACUCGUACGCCAAGCCGGGGCGCAGAGGCUGCAAUUCCAUUCAGGUCCCGGUACUUCAGUUUAAAGUUGAGGAAUCCAUCAAGCCAGCCUUCGGAACAGUCAAGUGUUCAGUGUAGUAAUCAGUCCUCUCCUUCAAGCAAGAAGCUUUUUGAAUUACUUUGUUGUGCAGAAAGUGUAGAUGAUCAGCUGACUGCCCUCCUGAAGACAUUCCAGCUCACAGAAGAGAACACCAAACUCCGCUAUCUCACCUGCUCUCUUAUUGAGGACAUAGCGGCUGCAUAUUUUCCAGGCUGUGCAGUCAGACCCUUUGGCUCUUCAGUGAACAGUUUUGGGAAAUUAGGAUGUGAUUUGGACAUGUUUUUGGAUCUGGAUGAAAUUGGAAACUUUAGUGCCCAAAAGGCUUCAGGAAAUUUUCUGAUGGAAUUUCAAGUGAAAAAUGUUCCUUCGGAAAGAAUUGUGACUCAGAAGAUCCUGUCUGUGAUAGGGGAGUGCCUUGAUCACUUUGGCCCCGGCUGUGUCGGGGUGCAGAAGAUCCUAAAUGCUCGGUGUCCCCUGGUCAGGUUCUCGCACCAGGCCUCCGGGUUUCAGUGUGAUUUGACCACUAACAAUAGGAUCGCCUUGAAAAGUUCCGAGCUGCUUUAUCUGUACGGUGCCCUGGACUCACGCGUGAGAGCCUUGGUGUUCAGCAUCCGAUGCUGGGCUCGAGUGCAUUCGUUAACAAGUAGUAUUCCUGGUGCUUGGAUUACAAAUUUCUCCCUCACCAUGAUGGUCAUCUUCUUUCUCCAGAGGAGAUCACCCCCUAUUCUUCCAACACUAGACUCCUUGAAAUCCCUAGCGGAUGCAGAAGAUAAGUGUAUAAUAGAAGGCCACAACUGUACAUUUGUUCGUGACUUGAAUAAAAUUAAACCUUCAGGAAACACAGAAUCACUAGAAUUACUACUGAAAGAAUUUUUUGAAUAUUUUGGAAAUUUCGCUUUCAAUAAAAAUUCCAUAAAUAUUCGACAGGGAAGGGAACAAAACAAACCUGAAUCUUCUCCACUGCACAUUCAGAAUCCAUUUGAAACCUCUCUCAACAUAAGCAAAAAUGUAAGUCAAAGCCAGCUGCAAAAAUUUGUAGAGCUGGCCAGAGAAAGCGCCUGGAUUUUACAUCAGGAAGUUAAAGAACGCCAGUCAAGCAACCAGCCCUGGGGGCUGGCCACCCUGCUGCUGCCUUCUGUAGCAAAUAACAUAUCUUUUGUCAAGAAGCGAAAGAAGCCUGCAAGUGAAAGAAUUAAAAACUUGUUGGAAUCCAUAAAAAGUAGCAGCACAGAACAUCCCACAGACACCAAUGGGAAAAGAGCUGUUAACACUCAGGCAUGAUGGUGGCUGCUUUGCCUUCAGAACUGGUUUUUGUCCUGUACGAUGAUCUCUGGACCUGGAAGAACUGCGUGAAACUCACAGAUCACCCUGUCUUCUGCUGUCUCUCUUCAUGAUCUCUUCUCUUUGGGCCCCUUAACCUGGUCCGAUGUCCUGCGACAUUUUUGGUCUGAUGCCCAGGGAUGCUGUGGUGAAACGUUAGCCGAGGGAACAGGUGACAGAAGAUUGGAAUGUGCUUCAGAUAAACCAUACAGAUCAGUUUUAGAAUCAAACCGUUGUUGAUUCCACAUCAGUCCCAGGGUGUAAAUCAUUGAAAAGAACUCUCUAGGGUGAGAACAGAAUUAGACUGUUUCAAGUCACUUCAUGUUCCUAGAGAUUCCUUGGCUUUAGAAGGACAGCUCUGUUCAGUUCCAUACGGCCUGCUGGUGCCAGAGUAGGAACAUGCUCCCUUUGCAUGCCUAAGUCUAAACCUGCGCAGUGAGCAUCUGUGGCAGAAGCGGCAGAAAGAGCAGCCGAGCCAGGUGGUGGCUCUCUCCACUCGCCAGAGCUUGGUACUCAGCUGGUGAGUAGCUGUCAUUGCGUCUUGAUGCAGCGAAACCAUCCAAAAUGCUGUCACAAGGAGGAAAUCUUUUCUGCCCAAGAUGAUCAGAAAAGGCUUCAUCCAUCACAUAGAAUAGGAUAGGUCUUGACGGGAAUUGUCAUCUGUGUCGUCCAGAGCCAGGGCCUGGAGUUUGUCAUUCUGGGAGCAGAAGUGUAAAUAGGAGCCAGGAGGAGGAGGCGUGUUUGGAGACCUGGCCGGCCAGGCCAGCAGGGAUGGGAUUUUGCUCUGGUACUCAGGGAAUCAAGGCUGAGGGAGAUGGUGAGACUGCCCAUGGUGAGCCAAGGAGGUGGUGUGUUUUCAGCGGGAAAGCGUUGAAGGUUUCUGUGUUACGGAAAAGUAGAAGCUAAAGCACUGCUUUAGAUGACUCAUCUGUUAGCAAGCAGUUACCGAGCACUGCUCCUUUUUUUCUUAGCAGAUUUGAGUACCUUAGGUCCCAUCAUUAAAUUCGGUAAAAUUUGGCUGUGAAAUUUUCCACAAAGGUCCAGAAGCUGAUUUUCAUAUACCUCACAGGAGUCUUUCUCUAAUGUUUAACAAGUAAGUAAAGUUUAAGAGGUUUAAAGCGAUCAUCAGGAAAUAUCAUCAGGUAAUGACAUAUAAUUUUAUGUAAAGCCUUACUAAUGAGAAAUUCUUUGCAGUAUAUACUUGGAAAAGAUUGAAAACAUGACCAGAAAUCACUUUUCACCUUGGGAUGAUGUUGGAAAAUUUAUUUUAAAUACUUGAAAGGCUUAUUUCAGUUUCCAUGCUGAGUCCAAUUACUUGUGGGUACAUAUUCCAACGAAUAUAAACAUUACAGCGUUCCUCUGGAAUUCCCAUGGAGCAGCUCCCAGAAAAUGUCUACUUUAGAUAGAAUCUUUAAUCUGUAAUCUCUAUGAUAUAGGAUAUAUAAAUCACCACAUUUUAAAAAUAUACUACUCAUUUUUUUUUUUUUUGGUCUUUUGUCUUUUUUUUUUUUAGGGCUGCACUCGUGGCACAUGGAAGUUCCCAGGCUAGGGGUCCAAUUGCAGCUGUAGCUGCCGGCCUACACCACAGCCACAGCAACUCGGGAUCCGAGCCACCUCUGCAACCUUCACUACAGCUCACAGCAACACUGGAUCCUUAACCCACUGAUCGACGCCAGGGAUCAAACCCCUGUCCUCAUGGAUGCCAGUCAGGUUCAUUAACUGUUGAGCUAUGACGGGAACUCUGGAAAAAUACACUACUCAUAUUUUAAAUGUGAUCCCUCAUGUUACCUGUGCGUAUGCAUGUCCACCCAUCGUUAAGAACUCAGUGGAGUCAAGGACGUAUUAAAUGCAUUAUUCACUUUUUCUCUCUACCCUUCGAUGAAUCCAUUUAAACUCUCAUGGCAAAGUUUCUAAGCUUUGAGGAUGUGAUGCUGAGAUGUUUUAAAGAGAAUAUUGGAAAGAGAGGACUUGAAACCAUAAAUGUUACACGGUGAAGAUACAUGUAUGAUAAAAUAGCUAAUUUGGAAUAGGCCAAGUCUAAGUAAAUGAAAAAAUAUAAAUUAUAGAUUGUUCUUUCUUCUGGGUUUAUUUUGAAGUAUGGCACAUUGGAAACUUAAACUAUCAUCGAUGCUGUCAAAUGAAAUGGAACAAAUUAACAAAAGAUUACGAAUGAGGUCUGUGUUACGUUCUGUGUCACCACAGCUCAUUAACAUGUGACACUUGUCAAGUGCAGUGAAAGUUUGUACAUUUUGAAGUUUUUCCUAUUGCAGAGUUACUGGAAUAGGAUUUAGACUAAUGUAACUUAAUGAUUAGUGUUUUAUAAUUAAUCUUUGCUAAGCUUAACACGUGGGCUUGGAGAAUGAUGAGAAGUGACAUUAACAUCUCUUUUACAAACUCUUAAAAACUGAGUCGAAGGUGGAUUAAUGAGGCUGGCUGAUGUUGCAAUGGAAUUUGAAGCUCAAAAAUCUGUUUUUUUAAAAUCCAUGUAAAAUGUAAAUUAUACUUCUGUAGACAUACAUAUCACUAUAAAACUAGAGCAAGCUUGGCCUUAUUUUUUUUUUUUUAGCAGUUGAUUUUGGUGACUUUAAAAGGGUUGUUUGUAUGUGACAGCAUCCCCCCUUUCUCCCAAUUCUCUAAUUGAACCUACAGUAAUAAGCAUCCUUGGAGUUUCCCUGCUUUUCUUCUUGGCAUCACUGGUUAUAAAGCUCAGUUACCAGUACUGAGUGGUUUCCUUUAGCUUUAUAUAAUUGCGUUUUUAAAAAAGGUUUACAGGAGAUCCUGUCAUGGCUCAGCAGAAGUGAAUCUGACUAGCAUUCAUGAGGACGCAAGUUCAGUCCCUGGCCUUUCUCAGUGAGUUAAGGAUCCGGUGUCGCAGUGAGCUAUGGUGUAGGUCACAGACGCUGCUCAGAUCUCAUGUUGCUGUGGCUGUGGCAUAGGCCAAUGGCUACAGCUCCAAUUUGACCCCUAGCCCAGAGACAGGUGCAGCCCUAAAAAGAAAAAAAAAAGUAAAAAAAUUUUUCACAUUUUAUAUUUUUACUUGAUCCCUUCUUUUUUUUUAAGAAAUGAUGACUAAGAGUAACGGUGAGCAGUGGUACUUGACUUACCGGUUGUUUGGUGAUAAGAUAGACUCAAAUAAUCAGUUUUUAUAGAAGACUGAUUUCAAGAGCUUCACCCUCACCUCUGGACAGAGGACUGUCAAAUCACUAUUUUAGUCCCACCGCUAGAACUUCAUCAUUAUUGUGUAUUGGACUUUGUGCUUCAGCUCCAAAUCGGCAGUUUAAAUGAAAAUUUUCUUCCUUAAAAUUGGCUAACCUCUUAAUUUGCCUAUUUCUGUUGUUGGUACCAUUAUUCUCAGCCACUUGAGUUCAAACUCUGAGAUCCUUUUAGACUCCUUUUUUCUCCUGUUUAAUUAAUCUCUCUCUGUUUCUGUUGGCAUUAGCUUAGUUCACGUCAGUACCUAUCUUCUAAUACACCAGUCUUUUGGCUUGUUUCCCAGCCCAGUGACCCCUUCUGUGAUCCAUGCGAACCAAUUUUCUAAGGAGUAGGAGUCAAGAAAGUACGUUUUAUGGUAAAUUAAUAUUAAAUUAUAUGUGUUUGUUUAUUGUAAAGAUACCUUGGAAUUGUACAGAGCUUUAAGGUCAUUCUAAAUAUCAGGGAACAUCUUUGUGUAGGUGUCCAAAACAGACACCGACUGAAGGUUCUAAUUAGUCAAAAGCACUGGUUUUUUCUCUAACAUCAAACUGUUUAUACACACUAUUGACUUCUUAAAGUUUUCAAACUUCUCUAGUAAUAACAAUCCCAAAAUACUGGUACAACGGAGUCACUCAUUCAGCAAAUAUUUCCCCGGAUUGCUGUGUGCCAGACACUCUCCAACUGAGACGUAAAUACCAAGAGAGACAAAAAUUUUGAAUUGCUGGAAAAAAUGAUGUUUAUUCCUGAAGAGCGAGGCUUAGUGUAAGGGUAACAGUUUUGCGUAUGUAUCAAUUAAUAAAGGUGCAACCAAUUAAAAUCCUGUAAGGAUUUUUAAAAGAAACUUGAAACUCAUUGGAAGUAUAUGAGGAAGAAUAAAUAUAUAAAAGUAGCCAGAAGAAAUUUUUUUUUUUUUUUUCUUUUUAGGGCCACACUUGUAGUAUAUAGAAGUUCCCAGGCUAGGGGUCCAAUCUGAGCUACAGCUGUCUGCCACAGCCACAGCCACGACUCAGGAUCUGAGCCGUGUCUGCAGCCUACACCACAGCUCACGGCAACACUGGAUCUUUAACCCACUGAUCAAGGCCAGGGAUUGAAUCUGCAUCCUCUUGGAUACCAGUCAGGUUCAUAACCAUUGAGCCACUAUAGAAACUCCAAAAAAUUGUUUUAUUUAAUAAGUAACAUUAAAAUAUAAGGCAAGGUAAUUUAAACAAUACUGCUGGCUUGAGAUAGACAAAUCUUUGGAUCAGUACAGAAAUAUACUCAAACUAUAUAUGGGAAUUUAUAGUAAUAAAAGGCAAUAUUUCAAGUCAAUAGAAAGAUGGAUUAUUCAGUAAAUUGUGUUGGGACAACUGGUAGCUAUUGGAAAAGAAAAGUUUGACCCUAGUCUUACUCUUUACCCAAAUAAAUUCCAGGUGGGUCUGAAUCUAAAUGUGAGGCGGGGGAGUGAAAUCAUAAAGUGCAAAAGAAAUCAUAGAUGAAUAUUAUAAACCUAGGGUAGGGCAGGGUGCCUUUUCAAAGCAUGACAUGCAUUUAUGAAAGAAUAUAUUGAUAAGUUUGACUACUUUAGAAUGGAAAACUAUACCACAAAGCAACCAUAAAUAAAGUUUAAAAUUCUAAUACUAAUGAAAAGGGCCAAUUUUUCUAAUGAGCUCUACAAAUCUAAAAGUAGUAGGCAAAGACAACUUACCUAUUAUGAAGAAUUUGAACACAAGCAAAAGUAAACUGAAAAGUAUUAGGAACUUGCAUAAAUCCAUCACCUCUUUCAGUAAUUAACUCAUGGCAAUUGGCUUUAAUCUAUAACUGUAUUUAUUUACCCCACCUGUAUUAUUUUAAGGAUAUUCCAGUCAUACUAUCAUUUUAUCUGUAAAUAUGUCCAUUCCCUCCAGAACGAUAAGAACUUUUCUCUAACAUAAUCACAAAUCAUUAUCAAACCUACGUAGAACAAACGCAAGCAAUAAUUCUCUAAUAUCUUCAUAUCCAUUCAGAGUUCAGGUUUCCAGUUGUGUUACGGAUCUCACAGUUGUUUUUUCCCAAAGCACGUUUAUUGGGGUCCGGUCAUAGUCCCCACCUUGUGAUUGGUUGAUGCAUUUCUGAAGUCUCUUGAAUUUUUAGGUUUCUGCUUCAUAUCUCUUUUUUUGUCUUUUUGCAAGUUUUUGAAGAUACCGAGUUGUUUUUCUUAUAGCGUUUCCUGCAACAUGGAUUGUGCUGAUUUUGUCAGCGCCUGUGAUGAUGUGCUGUGGAGUCAUUCUUUAACUGUGUCUAAUUUUUUAAACCCUUUCAUUGAAUUCUCAAUUCCAGGAGGUUUUGUUUGUUUGUUUCCAGUUCUAGAAUUUCUAUUUGGUACUUAAAAAAAAUUUUUUUUUCUAAUUUUCUGACAAAUUUCUCAGGCACAACUUUGAUUUUCUUAUGAAGUCUGUCUAAUAACUUGAUUAUCUGGUCGGCUCCUGUUUUCCAUGAUGUUGUUGACCCCUCUCCUUGUGUACCUAACUGUUGUUACCCUGUGUGCUGACCUGGUAGGUGAAAAACAGUAGAUGACGUGAGGGAGGGCGAUGCUGAUCUUCCUUCAGGAUGGAUGUAUUUUUGCUUCCGGAAGGUGGGUAGGAGGACUUAGGAUCCUGAAUCACCGUGAUCUAGAAAGAAAGGGCAUGAGAUUUUGAAGUUGGAUUGAGUUCCAGAUUCUGGUUCAUCUUUCCUCUCAGAAUGUUAGCCUCACCCAGAGCCAGGAGCGUUUACCAGGCCUCUUUUCCUUGAUAGACCUUGAGCUCCAGUUCUUGUCCCGUUUCCCCGUGACCUUUCUGAAAGCUCUGCUCAGCAGAUGUCCAAAUGGGCUCACCUGUGGAGGUGUGCUUCUCCACGGCCCUGCAAGUCUUCACUGCCCUAGUAGCAUCUGGAUGCUCUCAGGCAACUGCUUCUUGUUUUGCCUGGCGGAAAGUUGUCGUCAGUGAGAGAGGUGGUAGGUACUACCUAGUCUGAUGUUACCGGAAGCCGGUGAGCUCUUUUUGAUUCCAGCUUCUGAUCCCUUAUGUAUAUAUAUUUGUAAUUUUAUAGGACUGAUGUAUACUGUUCCUGUGGUUUACUUCCUUGCAAGGGACUUUCACAUGUUGAGUUGGGCUUUGUAUGUAUAGCAGCGCAGACACCUGGCUGGAGGGAAAGCCUGGUUCACCACUGAGGAAGCAAGGUACUGCAUAUGUUGCUGGGCUCUGCUUCAGAAAUCGCCAGCUUUUAUUUCUGGAUUGUGAUUUCCUCAUAGAGGAUCUUGUACAUGCCAAUUCAAAGUUUAAAUUUAUGCCAUGUGUGAAUGAGUGGCAAAGCGCCCAAGUAAGAAUGGGGAAAAAUAUCUUCUUUUUCCAAUCAUAUUCAGACACCUCAAACAACUAGGAAAUACACUUUUUCUUCCAGCUUUCCAAAAUAUUUAUCUGGGCUGAGGUCAAGAAUGAAAGCAUUUUAGGCCAAAGUGCAUCUUGAAAAUUUUAUGAUUUAUAAAAGAGUUUAAAAAUUCUCUUUUGAAUUAAAGCCUAUGUUAUUAUCAGAGUGUUUUAUUUAUGAACACACAAUAUUAGUGAAUUUAUAUAUCAGUGAAAUAUUUUAAGUGUAUCUUUUCUGUUAUUUCUCUAAUAUUUGAUUAUUUCAUGUUUGUGGUUUAUUAGUUUAAUUAUCAGCAUAUAUUUGUUUAGGUAACAGAGAAGCAGCAAUUAACAAUAUCUAUAUUAUUUUGAGUUAGUUUUCAACUUGUAUUUAUAAUUUGCUACAUAUAUUCUACCAUUUAUAUAUUUCCAGGAACUUUAAUUUAGGUCUCUAAAUAUUUAAUAAAAUCAUUUUGCAGACUAAAUUAUUUGAUGUUUUUAUCUUGAUUACUCUGAACAAAGCCAGUACUUCAAGUUUAUCCUUGAUGCUUCAGGGUGAAAAUUGUGUUAAGUAGUAUUUGAAUUUAAAUGUGGUUUUAAAAUGUUUCUUAAUUCUAAAGCCCUUUGUAGUUCCCAUUUUCUAAGUAAUAUUAGCUAUAUUUGAUCUUCUGAUGAAGAGAGACUUGACUAUGAUUAAAUAUGUGCAGUACCAUCCUGGAAUAAAUUUUUAUUCAUAGAUUAAUAAAAUAUGUGCAGCAUGAUUUAGGAGAAAAUAUUUUAGGCCAUUAAAUUUAGUUACAUAAGCUACAGUCUGUUUUAAAUUCUGUGCAACAAAAUCUGUUUUGCUUUAAAAAUAAAAUGUUCAUUACACUGGGAAAUGUGGAAUAUUAGUUUUUCAAGGCCAUCAGAAGCAUCUCCAAUCACAUAUUUAGGAAAUUUUAAAAAUACUAGUUUUAGCCUGUCAACUUAAUGGCAUUUGUUAUUAUUGUCUAAUUUUCUUAUCUGUACUUAAAAGCCUUAAGAAUGCUUAAUCUUUGA
Molecule: non-coding RNA, 9675 nt
Organism: Sus scrofa (pig)
Lineage: Eukaryota; Metazoa; Chordata; Mammalia; Artiodactyla; Suidae
Source: RefSeq, a predicted model, not a curated record